This 447-nucleotide ribosomal RNA is filed under the name uncultured bacterium. RNAcentral's name for it is "partial 16S ribosomal RNA". It matches the Rfam family "Bacterial small subunit ribosomal RNA", at positions 29 to 523 of the family's 1533-position model. The record is from RNAcentral.
AACGAACGCUGGCGGCAGGCUUAACACAUGCAAGUCGAGCGCCCCGCAAGGGGAGCGGCAGACGGGUGAGUAACGCGUGGGAAUCUACCCUUUCCUACGGAAUAGCUCCGGGAAACUGGAAUUAAUACCGUAUACGCCCUUAGGGGGAAAGAUUUAUCGGGGAAGGAUGAGCCCGCGUUGGAUUAGCUAGUUGGUGGGGUAAAGGCCUACCAAGGCGACGAUCCAUAGCUGGUCUGAGAGGAUGAUCAGCCACAUUGGGACUGAGACACGGCCCAAACUCCUACGGGAGGCAGCAGUGGGGAAUAUUGGACAAUAGGCGCAAGCCUGAUCCAGCCAUGCCGCGUGAGUGAUGAAGGCCUUAGGGUUGUAAAGCUCUUUUACCAGGGAUGAUAAUGACAGUACCUGGAGAAUAAGCUCCGGCUAACUCCGUGCCAGCAGCCGCCGUAA